RNAcentral lists this ribosomal RNA (468 nucleotides) under uncultured bacterium. RNAcentral describes it as "partial 16S ribosomal RNA". It matches the Rfam family "Bacterial small subunit ribosomal RNA", at positions 28 to 507 of the family's 1533-position model. The record is from RNAcentral.
GACGAACGCUGGCGGCGUGCUUAACACAUGCAAGUCGAACGGAAAGGCCCUGCUUUUGUGGGGUGCUCGAGUGGCGAACGGGUGAGUAACACGUGAGUAACCUGCCCUUGACUUUGGGAUAACUUCAGGAAACUGGGGCUAAUACCGGAUAGGAGCUCCUGCUGCAUGGUGGGGGUUGGAAAGUUUCGGCGGUUGGGGCUGGACUCGCGGCUUAUCAGCUUGUUGGUGGGGUAGUGGCUUACCAAGGCUUUGGCGGGUACCCGGCAUGAGAGGGUGAACGGCCACAUUGGGACUGAGAUACGGACCAGACUCCUACAGGAGGCAGCAGUGGGAAAUAUUGCACAAUGGGCGGAAGCCUGAUGCAGCAACGCCGCGUGCGGGAUGACGGCCUUCGGGUUGUAAACCGCUUUCGCCUGUGACGAAGCGUGAGUGACGGUAAUGGGUAAAGAAGCACCGGCUAACUACGUG